Molecule: long non-coding RNA, 351 nt
Filed under: Nicotiana benthamiana
Lineage: Eukaryota; Viridiplantae; Streptophyta; Magnoliopsida; Solanales; Solanaceae
Description: long non-coding RNA (NBEN_LNC002220)
Source: RNAcentral
GGUCUUUGGUCUAUUUAAGAAGAACAGAAUCCGUUUCCUAAGUAUUCAAACUUGGCUCCUUUUGUCUAAACUUUUAAUGUCAUACUUUUUAUAGGAUUUCUAAAUUAGGAUGCUAAGGAGGAAAGUGCUCUUGGUUUCUUUAUCUUCUUUUGCUAUACUUAUCUUCAUCUUCUUUAUAUCAUUGAAUAUUGGCUUAAAUUUUUCAUUAUCAACUUCGUUAAACAACACCAUUUUACUGCAGCAAUCGACCCAAAUGAACGCACAGUUCACCCUCUUAAUCGGAAUCUUUACACAACCAAAAAAUUUCGAUAGACGUCAUUUCCUUCGCCUUAUAUAUGGAAUUCAAUCCAC